UCCCAGGUGGCUCAGUGGUAAAGAAUCUGCCUGCAGUGCAGGAGACCUGGGUUCGAUCCCUGGGUUGGGAA
RNAcentral lists this transfer RNA (71 nucleotides) under Bos taurus (domestic cattle). It matches the Rfam family "tRNA". From Rfam's summary of the family: Transfer RNA (tRNA) molecules are approximately 80 nucleotides in length. Their secondary structure includes four short double-helical elements and three loops (D, anti-codon, and T loops). Lineage: Eukaryota; Metazoa; Chordata; Mammalia; Artiodactyla; Bovidae. The record is from Rfam by way of RNAcentral. RNAcentral also lists the same sequence under 5 other names.